Molecule: long non-coding RNA, 288 nt
Organism: Oncorhynchus keta (chum salmon)
Lineage: Eukaryota; Metazoa; Chordata; Actinopteri; Salmoniformes; Salmonidae
Exons: 3
Source: RefSeq, a predicted model, not a curated record
GGGCAAGGGACAGGGUAAGGGGCAAGGGACAGGGUAAGGGGCAAGGGACAGGGUAAGGGGCAAGGUAAGGGGCAAGGGACAGGGUAAGGGGCAAGUGACAGGGUAAGGAGCAAGGGACAAGGUGAGGUGCAGGGUAAGGAGCAAGGGACAAGGUGAGGGACAGGGUAAGGAGCAAGGGACAGGGUAAGGGGCAAGGGAAAGGGUAAGGAGCAAGGGAAAGGGUAAGGAGCAAGGGAAAGGGUAAGGAGCAAGGGACAGGGUAAGGGGCAAGGGACAGGGUAAGGAGCA